RNAcentral lists this transfer RNA (898 nucleotides) under uncultured bacterium. Its description in RNAcentral is "partial contains 16S ribosomal RNA, 16S-23S ribosomal RNA intergenic spacer, and 23S ribosomal RNA". The stretch from base 309 to 382 matches the Rfam family "tRNA". The record is from RNAcentral.
GCUUGCGGCUGGAUCCCCUCCUUUCUAGGGUGACAUGGAGCAGCUCUUCGGGGCCGCUCCCACACUCAGGUCAAUACCAGCUCGAGUCGCGGGCGGGCUUCGCCCGACCUCGCACUCAGAGGGUCUGAAUCCCGGGUUCUCCCGGUGACUCGUUCGAUCGGGGGGCUCUCGGCUGGUACUGCAGCUCUGCUGCAGCGAGACAAGAAGGAGCGCGGAUCGAAGCGCCACUUCAGGGGCCGCACGCUAUUCAGUUUCUGGAGACCGAGACGCUAUCGGAGCUCGCGGGCUCUGCGGGCUGAACGCAUCCAGGGCCUGUAGCUCAGUUGGUUAGAGCGUCCGCCUGAUAAGCGGGAGGUCGGUAGUUCAAAUCUACCCAGGCCCACCACUCCAUCUGGCGGAGUCUCACUCGGGCCAUCCGCAGUGGGGCUGUAGCUCAGCUGGGAGAGCGCGGGCUUUGCAAGCCUGAGGUCGUCGGUUCGAUCCCGAUCAGCUCCACCACGCCGACCCGUUCACUCCGGCAGCGGGGUGUCAGCGGUGGCCGGGGUGGCCACGAUCGGGCAUCGGCGACGAACCGCGACGGCGGCUCUCGAGGUCUCUCGUUUUUCAGGGAUUCCGGACAUCCGGGUUCCUGGUCUCGACCAAGCGCCCAUCCGGGCGGCCGGCUCGACACAGGCCGGUGCGUCGCUGCAGAAUGCAGCGGCGACUCGAGUUCUUUGACAAUCGAAUCGUUUGUAUUUUUCUCUCGGGUCCAAAGCGUUGAGUGCGCUUCGGCAUACGAAAUAUGUACGAGUGCAGCGUGCGGUUCGCCGCGCGAUGCGCUCCAGGCCUUUGGGUCAGCUACAAAGGGCAGACGGUGGAUGCCUUGGUGCCAGGAGGCGAUGAAGGGCGUGGUUAGCUG